UGGGGAAUAUUGGGCAAUGGGCGAAAGCCUGACCCAGCAACGCCGCGUGAGGGAAGAAGGGUUUCGGCUCGUAAACCUCUGUCCUAUGGGACGAAGGAAGUGACGGUACCAUAGGAGGAAGCCCCGGCUAACUACGUGCCAGCAGCCGCGGUAAUACGUAGGGGGCGAGCGUUGUCCGGAAUGAUUGGGCGUAAAGGGCGCGUAGGCGGCCUGUUAAGUCUGGAGUGAAAGUCCUGCUUUCAAGGUGGGAAUUGCUUGGAUACCGAUGGGCUGGGAGUGCAGGAGAGGAAAGCGGAAUUACCGGUGUAGCGGUGAAAUGCGUAGAGAUCGGUAGGAACACCAGUGGCGAAGGCGGCUUUCUGGACUGAAACUGACGCUGAGGCGCGAAAGCGUGGGGAGCAAACAGGAUUAGAUACCC
Molecule: ribosomal RNA, 418 nt
Filed under: uncultured bacterium
Lineage: Bacteria
Description: bacterial SSU rRNA
Rfam family: Bacterial small subunit ribosomal RNA
Source: RNAcentral